UGGGAUGUAGCUCAGUGGUAGAGCAGGGAGCUGUUAACUCUCAGGUCGCAGGUUCGAGCCCUGCCGUCCCAGCCA
This 75-nucleotide transfer RNA is filed under the name Pseudomonas phage vB_VIPPAEUMC01. Its description in RNAcentral is "tRNA-Asn". It matches the Rfam family "tRNA". Rfam says of the family: Transfer RNA (tRNA) molecules are approximately 80 nucleotides in length. Lineage: Duplodnaviria; Heunggongvirae; Uroviricota; Caudoviricetes; Vandenendeviridae. RNAcentral also lists the same sequence under 2 other names. The record is from RNAcentral.